This 255-nucleotide long non-coding RNA is filed under the name Daucus carota (carrot). RNAcentral's name for it is "long non-coding RNA (DCAR_LNC001341)". Lineage: Eukaryota; Viridiplantae; Streptophyta; Magnoliopsida; Apiales; Apiaceae. The record is from RNAcentral.
UCCGUUUCAAAUUACUUGUCCACUUUCAAAAAAUCACAUAGUUUAAGAAAAGUGGAUUUUGAGAAAAAAGAGGUGUAAUAAGUCAUUAAUUGAACCUAAUAUGUGGUAUAGAGUUGAUCUUGGAAAUAUAAAUUUGAAAUAUGUGGAGGAGAGUUGAUUUUGGAAAUAUAAAUUUGCAUUGAAAGUUGAAGUGGACAAGUAUUUUGAAACAAAACUUUUUUUCUAAGGUGGACAUGUAUUUUGAAACGGAGGGAG